UGAAGUCUAUGGGCGACGGUAAUCACU
Molecule: small RNA, 27 nt
Filed under: Bombyx mori (domestic silkworm)
Lineage: Eukaryota; Metazoa; Arthropoda; Insecta; Lepidoptera; Bombycidae
Description: ovarian small RNA-31018
Source: RNAcentral